GAUGAAGAACGUAGCGAAAUGCGAUAAGUAGUGUGAAUUGCAGAAUUCAGUGAAUCAUCGAAUCCUUGAACGCACAUUGCGCCCCUUGGUAUCCCGAGGGGCAUGCCUGUUCGAGCGUCAUUUCACCACUCAAGCCUGGCUUGGUGUUGGGCGACGUCCUCUUUGGGGACGCGCCUCGAAACGCUCGGCGGCGUGGCACCGGCUUUAAGCGUAGCAGAAUCUUUCGCUUUGGAAGUCGGGGCCCCGUCUGCCGGAAGACCUGCUCGCAAGGUUGACCUCGGAUCAGGCAGGGAUACCCGCUGAACUUAAGCAUAUCAAUAAGCGGAGGA
This 329-nucleotide unclassified non-coding RNA is filed under the name soil metagenome. RNAcentral describes it as "partial contains 5.8S ribosomal RNA, internal transcribed spacer 2, and large subunit ribosomal RNA". The stretch from base 1 to 120 matches the Rfam family "5.8S ribosomal RNA", at positions 35 to 154 of the family's 154-position model. The record is from RNAcentral.